Molecule: ribosomal RNA, 468 nt
Filed under: uncultured bacterium
Lineage: Bacteria
Description: partial 16S ribosomal RNA
Rfam family: Bacterial small subunit ribosomal RNA
Source: RNAcentral
GACGAACGCUGGCGGCGUGCUUAACACAUGCAAGUCGAACGGAAAGGCCCUGCUUUUGUGGGGUGCUCGAGUGGCGAACGGGUGAGUAACACGUGAGUAACCUGCCCUUGACUAUGGGAUAACUUCAGGAAACUGGGGAUAAUACCGGAUAGGAGCACCUGCUGCAUGGUGGGGGUUGGAAAGUUUCGGCGGUUGGGGAUGGACUCGCGGCUUAUCAGCUUGUUGGUGGGGUAGUGGCUUACCAAGGCUUUGACGGGUCGCCGGCCUGAGAGGGUGACCGGCCACAUUGGGACUGAGAUACGGCCCAGACUCCUACGGGAGGCAGCAGUGGGGAAUAGUGCAUAAUGGGCUGAAGCCUGAUGCAGCAACGCCGCGUGCGGGAUAACGGCCUUCGGGUUGUAAUCCGCUUUCGCCUGUGACGAAGCGUGAGUGACGGUAAUGGGUAAAGAAGCACCGGCUAACUACGUG